GGGCGGGUCCCGCUGCUGCCGCCGGGUGUCGCUGUGGCUCCUCCCCCCCGCGGCCCUUCCGCCCGCCUUCCGCCGUGGGGCCCUCGUCCCUUCCUUUCUCUCCCUCUCCCCCGUCUUCCUCCCCAUUUCCUCUCCCGCUUGCCCUGGUCUCCAGUGCGUUCCCCUCCGUGCGGUCCCCGUAUCUCCUGUCUGUGCUUCCGUGUGUUCCUCUGCGUGCGCUGUCCCCUCCGGUGCCCCGAGCUGAGGAGUCCCGGCCCCUUCUUGGGUGUCCCGGUCCUUUCUGUGCGCGUGCUCUCCUGCCCCGCACACCUUCGGGUGUGCUUUGCGCCCACCUGGUUCCUCCCGUGCUUGCUCUGGCCCCACUGUUCUCAUGCGGGGUCGGGCCUUUGGAGCCCCAGCCUGCUGGGGUUCCCUCUAUGGGUGGUCUGUCGCCCUUUCUCAUCUGUCCCAUCCGCUCGAGUUGAUUUGGGCAGGAGCUGUUCCUCACCUUGCCUGUUCUUAGGUGCUGUGCUCCACUCCUGUUGGCUCUGCACUGCUGGCCUCCAUCCCCCUGGGCUCUCUUACCCACUUCAUUCCCAUCUGUUAGAGCUUGGUUCACAUUCCUCCUCUCCAUUCCCCUCCCUCUUCCCCUCUGUGUUCACUCUGAUCGGCUCUGUCUUGUCUCCCUGGCUUGUUCAUGCUGGUCUCCUCUGUUCACCACUAUGUUGCCUCCGUUCCCAUCCAUCCCUCUCUGUGUGGGAAGGGAGCGGGGUGCACAUGGAGAGGCAGGGAGGUGACUGGAGCACACAAGUGGAAUGGCACACAGAUGAGGGAGAAUGUAGUGGCUCAGUGUGCGUAACCGGGAAUGGGGGAGCCGCAGCUCAUGGGGGAAAAUGGAGGGGAUCAGAGAGCACAAAAAUGGGCACAGAAGGAACAAGUUCACACCUAAGAGCAUGCCUGGCGAUGGGGGGGCAGUAGAUCAGAGCGCACAGGAAGGUCCCCCUUCCUUCUCCAGCUCUAGCGUCCCCCAUUGGGUCCUCUGUGGUAUGUCUGGGUGUGGGGGUAUGUGGGGUGUCCCUGAGGCAGUGCAGAUGUUUUGGUGUGGACAAUGUGAUGCCACGGAGCCUGUCCAUGUGCCCAGAUUCCUGGAGGUGUGGGAUGGGAGGUGUGGGACCCAACGGGGUGCCUGGCAGGAAACAGUCUGCCCUCCCACGCAGCGUGUUCCAGGAGCCACCCGCGUCUCCCUCUUCAAACAGAGGCAGGAGCAAGCAGCAUUAGCAGAACAGCAGGCUGUGCUGGAGAAAAGCGCCCGGCCUCGGGAAAAGAUCCGAAUUUUAAAGAAGCCACUCCACCCUGACCAGCGCUGUUGCCCAGACACAGGCAUGCCACCCGAAAAGCAUCUGUUGCCAUGAGCAAAGCAGAACAUGCAGCUCACGGCAUCCUACAAAGUUCUUCGGAACAGCUGGAAGGAAAAAGUGGAGCAAAACUGCCAGAGGCUGAAGCAGGAGGAGGAGGAUCGCCGGUAAAGAGCUCCCAACCCAGGCAGAGUCCCCGCUCCUGCAAAGCCCUUCGUGCCAUGGCCUGGGGGAAAGAGGGUCUUUUCCUGCCCCCUGCCCCAGGUCACACAAGUGGCUUUGGAGCUUGGCCUGGGCCUGGCCUGGACCUGGGUCAAGCAUCCCUUCCACUGAAAUGGGGUGGGGGGCUGGGAUGCGCCAUCGGAUUUCCAGAAGGCACCUAAAUGUCACGAGUGGCUCAGCAUCUUUCUCCUGAACCCCUCAGGGCUUUGGUGAUGUGCAGCCUCCAGAACAAAGAGCAGUGGGACCACAGGCUGGGCAGCUACAAGAGAAAUGUGUUUUUCCCACGGAAAUAAACUGCCUUUCCG
RNAcentral lists this long non-coding RNA (1861 nucleotides) under Apteryx rowi (Okarito brown kiwi). RNAcentral describes it as "lncRNA (ENSARWG00000013013.1)". The record is from RNAcentral. Lineage: Eukaryota; Metazoa; Chordata; Aves; Apterygiformes; Apterygidae.